RNAcentral lists this ribosomal RNA (253 nucleotides) under uncultured bacterium. RNAcentral describes it as "partial 16S ribosomal RNA". It matches the Rfam family "Bacterial small subunit ribosomal RNA", at positions 524 to 776 of the family's 1533-position model. The record is from RNAcentral.
UACGUAGGGGGCAAGCGUUGUCCGGAUUUAUUGGGCGUAAAGAGCGUGUAGGCGGCCUGGAAGGUCAGCUGUGAAAACUCGAGGCUCAACCUCGAGACGUCGGUUGAAACCACCUGGCUAGAGUCCGGAAGAGGAGAGUGGAAUUCCCGGUGUAGCGGUGAAAUGCGCAGAUAUCGGGAAGAACACCCGUGGCGAAGGCGGCCCUCUGGGACGGUACUGACGCUGAGACGCGAAAGCGUGGGGAGCGAACAGG